GAGGGUGUAGCUCGGUGGUAGAGCACAUGCUUAGGAUGGACGGGGUCCUGGGUUCAAUCCCCAGUACCUCCA
RNAcentral lists this transfer RNA (72 nucleotides) under Camelus bactrianus (Bactrian camel). It matches the Rfam family "tRNA". Rfam says of the family: Transfer RNA (tRNA) molecules are approximately 80 nucleotides in length. Their secondary structure includes four short double-helical elements and three loops (D, anti-codon, and T loops). The record is from Rfam by way of RNAcentral. Lineage: Eukaryota; Metazoa; Chordata; Mammalia; Artiodactyla; Camelidae. RNAcentral also lists the same sequence under 2 other names.